RNAcentral lists this transfer RNA (67 nucleotides) under Thyrsitoides marleyi (blacksail snake mackerel). Its description in RNAcentral is "tRNA-Cys". Lineage: Eukaryota; Metazoa; Chordata; Actinopteri; Scombriformes; Gempylidae. The record is from RNAcentral.
GGCUCCGGAGUGCGAUCGCACAUAAGAUUGCAAAUCUUAAGGAGCAGGUAGUAGCCUGCCGGGGCCU